Molecule: long non-coding RNA, 331 nt
Organism: Pecten maximus
Lineage: Eukaryota; Metazoa; Mollusca; Bivalvia; Pectinida; Pectinidae
Exons: 3
Source: RefSeq, a predicted model, not a curated record
CGUUAUCCAAGCGCAGCACAUGUUUGAGUAAGAGAACAUUCGUUCGGACUAUCGUAGGAUACGAUACGACACCAAAACAACGACGUGAGACGAUAUUUAGCAAUGGGAGGAAGUUCUGACGUGAGGCAAUAUUCGACUAUGGUGGACACUUAUGAUGACAAAUUUGGAAGCGGCAUGUGUGCAGCUAACGGCUACUCUUUGUACCUCAGUCAGACAACAAUCCUUGAUUGCGUCGAGCGGAUAUGCAAACGGCAGAGUGCGCAUGUACCCAUUACGGUAGCGGAUUUCGGAACAGCAGACGGGCGUACGUCCCUACAGCUACUCAACAAAG